GACGAACGCUGGCGGCGUGCUUAACACAUGCAAGUCGAACGGAAAGGCCCUGCUUUUGUGGGGUGCUCGAGUGGCGAACGGGUGAGUAACACGUGAGUAACCUGCCCUUGACUUUGGGAUAACUUCAGGAAACUGGGGCUAAUACCGGAUAGGAGCUCCUGCUGCAUGGUGGGGGUUGGAAAGUUUCGGCGGUUGGGGAUGGACUCGCGGCUUAUCAGCUUGUUGGUGGGGUAGGGGCUUACCAAGGCUUUGACGGGUAGCCGGCCUGAGAGGGUGACCGGCCACAUUGGGACUGAGAUACGGCCCAGACUCCUACGGGAGGCAGCAGUGGGGAAUAUGGCACAGUGGGCGGAAGCCUGAUGCAGCAACGCCGCGUGCGGGAUGACGGCCUUCGGGUUGUAAACCGCUUUCGCCUGUGACGAAGCGUGAGUGACGGUAAUGGGUAAAGAAGCACCGGCUAACUACGUG
This 468-nucleotide ribosomal RNA is filed under the name uncultured bacterium. Its description in RNAcentral is "partial 16S ribosomal RNA". It matches the Rfam family "Bacterial small subunit ribosomal RNA", at positions 28 to 507 of the family's 1533-position model. The record is from RNAcentral.